CUAGAGAUGUUGAGUGCAUUGCUUAUUUAACAGAAGCUUCCAAGAUAGCUCCCAAUUAUAUCUCGCGAUUCCAUGGUGACAUGCUCCUCCCAAACUUUGAGACUUCUAACCAGCAAAAUAAUUCCUGGUUAUCUUGGGUGCGCUACUUCUUCAGGGAUUACCGACCCGGACAUGGAAAUAGUUCUGACUAUAACAAGUCUGUCCUCACUUUCUAUGAAGAGCUUUGCCCUUUUCCCUUAGCUGCUUAUUUGGCUAUGUGGUUAUCUCGCUUCAUUUUUCCCGG
RNAcentral lists this long non-coding RNA (283 nucleotides) under Panax ginseng (ginseng). RNAcentral's name for it is "long non-coding RNA (PGIN_LNC011552)". The record is from RNAcentral. Lineage: Eukaryota; Viridiplantae; Streptophyta; Magnoliopsida; Apiales; Araliaceae.